AGUGAACAAAAAAACAAUAAGCCACUAAUAUAAACAGACAGUUCGUUAAACCGUACAUAUUAUAAUUUUCAGUUCAUCGGAGUGAGAUGAUUAGAUGGAGAUGGAUGAAGAUGGCUGUUUCUUCGGCGAUGGCGGCACUCUAGCUACGUUUCACCGGAAGAGUAGAUGUUUACGAAGUCGUUGCAGAAGACACAUUCGACUAAAAAUUCUAAAAUUUCAAUAAGCAAAGAAGAUAUUCUAAGUUCUGGCUGUAUUCUGGAGCGUUUCCUCAUGGGCGUCGCAAUUCACACACGUCACGGAUUCCGCCGAAGGAGUCGAUAAUAAAAACUGAACUUUUGGAUCGGAGAUAUGAAGACGCGCGCUGCAUUUUCCUUGGCGGAGAUGCACAGCCCUGACACUAGACAAUAUUAUACACUCGAAGGGAACGCGUUUCGCCGGAAGAAUUAC
Long non-coding RNA from Metopolophium dirhodum (rose-grain aphid), 447 nucleotides. RefSeq lists it as uncharacterized. The transcript has 4 exons. The record is from RefSeq and is a predicted model, not a curated record. NCBI's taxonomy places the organism in Eukaryota, Metazoa, Arthropoda, Insecta, Hemiptera, Aphididae.